AAACGUAUAUGUAAAUUGCCAUAUGCCCUUCAAUUACAAAACCUUUUAUUUUGGACAAUUUUACCCCUUCAGGGACGCUAUCCUACUGCGAGUAGACUCGCGUCGCAUUCAGAGUAGUGUCAGGUGACUCCUUUUAAAUCAUUGGACAAUUGGAUAGUUCGUGUCUCUCCAGAUAUUAUGUCCAAAGAGCUUGAGAACACGCUGUCAAUUUAUUUUCCCAAACAGUUCCAUUUAUUCUUAUCUCCCAACCACUUCUUCUCCUUUUAUACUCAAUUCCGACGAUUACUUCAUCAGUCUCUCUCUCUUCUAAUCCAUCUUAUCAAUCCGCGAUUUCAUCUCGAGAACCCUAAUCUCGUGAAACGAAGAAGCGAUGGAAGAACACUUCUAAGAACAUUCCAACAGACCUUGUUCAUGUUUCCGACAUCACCACUGCCCCUGUUAACGCCAGCAAUCCACAUGUGCCUGAGUACAGUACCUCAUCAGAAGCUGCUGAUCGUCGCAUCGACGAUGUCCUGCGUGAUCUGAACGUUGUACGUGAUGUUCCUCUCCAUGCAUUCACAGACGCUGACGACCCGCAACAUAUGGCGGAUCACACAGAGAAACAGUUAGAUGACUCCACACCUAUUGAACAGUUUGAGCAUCCCUCGGUCAACACCAACCCCUUGCAAACCAGAACACAACAAUUAAAGUUCAGGAGAUGGAUGGACAUGGGAAGGACUCUUACCACACGGCACAAGUAACUCUUAUCUUUACGUCUAAGUUUUAUGUUUACCGCUAACUGUCGAAAUAUAUAUGACCAGGAUGAGAACCAAGUUUCGGACAACGUGCACUGCGAACAGAUGGAGCAACUUGUUGAUGAUAACAUCCCUCUUGGCUCGUUUGAGCAUCUCUUGGUCAACACCAACCCCCUGGAAACCAGAACACAACAGUUGAAGUUCAGGAGAUGGAUGAACAUGGGAAGGACUCUGACUUCUUUAGCAAGUAACUCCUAUCUUUACGUCUAAGUUUUCUGUUUACCGCUAACUGUCAUAAUAUAUAUGACCAGGAAUUUACAGUCUCCAGAUGCAAGGAAAUACUGCAAGUCUCUAGUCAGAUCGAUGCAACAGUCAUGACUGUGCUGUUUAUUGAAGCUCACGCUUGUGAUGAGCUUGGUGGUUGCAAGGCUAUCACUCCUCCUCGGUUCCCGGAAGCCGCCAAACAACUGACUGUUAAACUCUUUGAUGACAUUUGGGUGUAAGGGGUGUGGUUAACUCUCUCUUCAAGGACUUAGUUAUGUGUUUGCAGUUUUUGUGUGUUUUCCUAAGUUUUAUUUACCCAGAAAUUUUCUUUCCAAGUUAUCGCCUAUGUAACAGACAUGGUUUCUCUUGACUCUCAAUUUUUCUUUUGCUUACUA
Long non-coding RNA from Raphanus sativus (radish), 1393 nucleotides. RefSeq lists it as uncharacterized. The transcript has 4 exons. Lineage: Eukaryota; Viridiplantae; Streptophyta; Magnoliopsida; Brassicales; Brassicaceae. The record is from RefSeq and is a predicted model, not a curated record.